GGUCUCGUGGCGCAGUGGAAACGCGUUUGCCUCCUAAGCAGAAGAUCGUGGGUUCGACCCCCACCGGGAUCG
Entamoeba histolytica HM-1:IMSS is the source of this 72-nucleotide transfer RNA. It matches the Rfam family "tRNA". Rfam says of the family: Transfer RNA (tRNA) molecules are approximately 80 nucleotides in length. Their secondary structure includes four short double-helical elements and three loops (D, anti-codon, and T loops). Lineage: Eukaryota; Evosea; Mastigamoebida; Endamoebidae. The record is from Rfam.